GACGAACGCUGGCGGCGUGCUUAACACAUGCAAGUCGAACGGAAAGGCCCCUUUGGGGGUACUCGAGUGGCGAACGGGUGAGUAACACGUGAGUAACCUGCCCUUGACUUCGGGAUAACUUCAGGAAACUGGGGCUAAUACCGGAUAGGAAUCCUUGCUGCAUGGUGGGGGAUGGAAAGCUUCGGCGGUUUUGGAUGGACUCGCGGCUUAUCAGCUUGUUGGUGGGGUAGUGGCUUACCAAGGCUUUGACGGGUAGCCGGCCUGAGAGGGCGACCGGCCACAUUGGGACUGAGAUACGGCCCAGACUCCUACGGGAGGCAGCAGUGGGGAAUAUUGCACAAUGGGCGGAAGCCUGAUGCAGCAACGCCGCGUGCGGGAUGACGGCCUUCGGGUUGUAAACCGCUUUCAGCAGGGGCGAAGCUUUUGUGACGGUACCUGCAGAAGAAGCACCGGCUAACUACGUG
This 464-nucleotide ribosomal RNA is filed under the name uncultured bacterium. Its description in RNAcentral is "partial 16S ribosomal RNA". It matches the Rfam family "Bacterial small subunit ribosomal RNA", at positions 28 to 507 of the family's 1533-position model. The record is from RNAcentral.